RNAcentral lists this unclassified non-coding RNA (315 nucleotides) under Hyalorbilia oviparasitica. RNAcentral describes it as "partial internal transcribed spacer region". The stretch from base 1 to 46 matches the Rfam family "Eukaryotic small subunit ribosomal RNA", at positions 1786 to 1831 of the family's 1831-position model. The record is from RNAcentral. Lineage: Eukaryota; Fungi; Ascomycota; Orbiliomycetes; Orbiliales; Orbiliaceae.
AAGUCGUAACAAGGUUUCCGUAGGUGAACCUGCGGAAGGAUCAUUACAGUAGUAAUGCCCGAGGACCGCCGCCGGCUGGUCCUUACGUCGCCGCGUCGGUUGAUCACCGGACCUCAUGCGGUCGGACGUUUAAACCCUCUGUGAAAAAACCCCCAGUUGCUUCGGCAGCUCGUCCUCCCCCCAAAACCGGGAGGGGGCGGUCAGCCUGCCGGCGGCACCCAUUUGGAAACUCAUUGCUGUAACGUAGCCGUAGAAACGUCUGAUAGCGAAGUCGAAUUGACUAUAAAACUUUCAACAACGGAUCUCUUGGUUCCC